Molecule: ribosomal RNA, 497 nt
Filed under: uncultured bacterium
Lineage: Bacteria
Description: partial 16S ribosomal RNA
Rfam family: Bacterial small subunit ribosomal RNA
Source: RNAcentral
GAUGAACGCUGGCGGCGUGCCUAAUACAUGCAAGUCGAGCGAACAGACGAGGAGCUUACUCCUCUGACGUUAGCGGCGGACGGGUGAGUAACACGUGGAUAACCUACCUAUAAGACUGGGAUAACUUCGGGAAACCGGAGCUAAUACCGGAUAACAUGUUGAACCGCGUGGUUCAACAGUGAAAGACGGUCUUGCUGUCACUUAUAGAUGGAUCCGCGUCGCAUUAGCUAGUUGGUAAGGUAACGGCUUACCAAGGCAACGAUGCGUAGCCGACCUGAGAGGGUGAUCGGCCACACUGGAACUGAGACACGGUCCAGACUCCUACGGGAGGCAGCAGUAGGGAAUCUUCCGCAAUGGGCGAAAGCCUGACGGAGCAACGCCGCGUGAGUGAAGAAGGUCUUCGGAUCGUAAAACUCUGUUAUUAGGGAAGAACAAAUGUGUAAGUAACUAUGCACGUCUUGACGGUACCUAAUCAGAAAGCCACGGCUAACUACGUG